GAUGAACGCUGGCGGCGCGCUUAACACAUGCAAGUCGAACGGACUUUAUUUCGGUAAAGUUAGUGGCGGACGGGUGAGUAACGCGUGGGUAACCUGCCUCACACUGGGGGAUAACAGUUAGAAAUAGCUGCUAAUACCGCAUAUGCGCACGGGAUCGCAUGAUUCAGUGUGGAAAACUCCGGUGGUGUGAGAUGGACCCGCGUCUGAUUAGGUAGUUGGUGAGGUAACGGCUCACCAAGCCGACGAUCAGUAGCCGGCCUGAGAGGGUGAACGGCCACAUUGGGACUGAGACACGGCCCAA
This 301-nucleotide ribosomal RNA is filed under the name uncultured bacterium. RNAcentral describes it as "bacterial SSU rRNA". It matches the Rfam family "Bacterial small subunit ribosomal RNA", at positions 28 to 334 of the family's 1533-position model. The record is from RNAcentral.